GCACCGAAGCUGCGGCAGCGACGCUUAUGCGUUGUUGGGUAGGGGAGCGUUCUGUAAGCCUGUGAAGGUGUACUGUGAGGUAUGCUGGAGGUAUCAGAAGUGCGAAUGCUGACAUAAGUAACGAUAAAGCGGGUGAAAAGCCCGCUCGCCGGAAGACCAAGGGUUCCUGUCCAACGUUAAUCGGGGCAGGGUGAGUCGACCCCUAAGGCGAGGCCGAAAGGCGUAGUCGAUGGGAAACAGGUUAAUAUUCCUGUACUUGGUGUUACUGCGAAGGGGGGACGGAGAAGGCUAUGUUGGCCGGGCGACGGUUGUCCCGGUUUAAGCGUGUAGGCUGGUUUUCCAGGCAAAUCCGGAAAAUCAAGGCUGAGGCGUGAUGACGAGGCACUACGGUGCUGAAGCAACAAAUGCCCUGCUUCCAGGAAAAGCCUCUAAGCAUCAGGUAACAUCAAAUCGUACCCCAAACCGACACAGGUGGUCAGGUAGAGAAUACCAAGGCGCUUGAGAGAACUCGGGUGAAGGAACUAGGCAAAAUGGUGCCGUAACU
Molecule: ribosomal RNA, 544 nt
Filed under: Escherichia coli
Lineage: Bacteria; Pseudomonadati; Pseudomonadota; Gammaproteobacteria; Enterobacterales; Enterobacteriaceae
Description: partial 23S ribosomal RNA
Rfam family: Bacterial large subunit ribosomal RNA
Source: RNAcentral